Molecule: ribosomal RNA, 496 nt
Filed under: uncultured bacterium
Lineage: Bacteria
Description: partial 16S ribosomal RNA
Rfam family: Bacterial small subunit ribosomal RNA
Source: RNAcentral
AUGAACGCUGGCGGCGUGCCUAAUACAUGCCAGUCGAGCGAACAGACGAGGAGCUUGUUCCUCUGACGUUAGCGGCGGACGGGUGAGUAACACGUGGAUAACCUACCUAUAAGACUGGGAUAACUUCGGGAAACCGGAGCUAAUACCGGAUAAUAUAUUGAACCGCAUGGUUCAAUAGUGAAAGACGGUUUUGCUGUCACUUAUAGAUGGAUCCGCGCCGCAUUAGCUAGUUGGUAAGGUAACGGCUUACCAAGGCAACGAUGCGUAGCCGACCUGAGAGGGUGAUCGGCCACACUGGAACUGAGACACGGUCCAGACUCCUACGGGAGGCAGCAGUAGGGAAUCUUCCGCAAUGGGCGAAAGCCUGACGGAGCAACGCCGCGUGAGUGAUGAAGGUCUUCGGAUCGUAAAACUCUGUUAUUAGGGAAGAACAAAUGUGUAAGUAACUAUGCACGUCUUGACGGUACCUAAUCAGAAAGCCACGGCUAACUACGUG